Molecule: ribosomal RNA, 485 nt
Filed under: uncultured bacterium
Lineage: Bacteria
Description: partial 16S ribosomal RNA
Rfam family: Bacterial small subunit ribosomal RNA
Source: RNAcentral
AGUGAACGCUGGCGGCGUGCUUAACACAUGCAAGUCGAACGAGAACGGAAUAUAGCUUGCUAUAUUUGUCAGCUAAGUGGCGCACGGGUGAGUAAUGUAUAGAUAACCUGCCCUUAAGAAAGGAAUAACAGUUGGAAACGACUGCUAAUGCCCUAUAUGCCUUUAAUACAUAAGUAUGCAAGGGAAACGCUUUAGUGCUUAAGGAUGGGUCUGUAUGGUAUCAGCUUGUUGGUGAGGUAAUGGCUCACCAAGGCUAUGAAGCCUAACUGGUUUAAGAGGAUGAUCAGUCACACUGGAACUGAGACACGGUCCAGACUCCUACGGGAGGCAGCAGUGGGGAAUAUUGCACAAUGGACGAAAGUCUGAUGCAGCAACGCCGCGUGGAGGAUGACACAUUUCGGUGCGUAAACUCCUUUUAUAUAGGAAGAUAAUGACGGUACUAUAUGAAUAAGCACCGGCUAACUCCGUGCCAGCAGCCGCGGUAA